This is a non-coding RNA of Pelobates cultripes (western spadefoot toad), 1042 nucleotides long. The record is from the annotation of a GenBank genome assembly. NCBI's taxonomy places the organism in Eukaryota, Metazoa, Chordata, Amphibia, Anura, Pelobatidae.
GUUGCGAAGAAAUCUUGUGGUAUGUGCCAGGGAAUGGUGCUGAAGUGGUAUAAUAGCCGCGGCAAGAUGUUCAUUUUAAUUACCGCUAUGCGUCCAUGCCAGGAGAUAUAGUCAUAAUGAGGUCCAUCAGGAUUGUGCGUAGGAGGGGGGUAUAGUUCCUGCAAUAUAAUUCCUUUGGGUUACUAGGUAUCCAGAUUCCCAGGUAGCGCAUUUGCUCUGUACACUAGUGGAAAGGGUAUCUGCGUCGGAUUUCUUCCCGCACGGCCGUUGGCGAGGCAAUGUUUAGAAUUUCGCAUUUUGACAGGUUUAAUUUUAAACCCGAUAUCCGUCCAUAUGCCUCAAAUUCUUCCAUCAAGGCUGGGAGCGUGUGUAGUGGGUUGUCUACAAAAAAGAGCAUGUCGUCUGCGUAUGCAGCUACCUUGUGUUCUUGGGAGUAUCUGAAUUUGUGCAUGGGAGCUGGUGGGCCUUCCAUUAGGCGUUCCAGGGGGGUCAGUCCAGUGGCGGUUAGCGUUUUGUGGAGUGGUAUGAAGUCCCUUCCCUGCAGAAAGUCCCAGGCCUUGAUCGGUAGUCCUCCCCCCAAUGCUUGGUUGUGUGUUAGCGUGGUCAGCGGGCUGGGUGUUGGGGAGAUGAUCGCUGCGUUCCUCAUUGUUGACCAUAUGUGGAGGGUAUGACUCGCCGGAGAGGGUGCGCCGGGGUCAUUAUUCCGUGGCAUUUUCUGAUUCCAUAGGGAUGCAAAAAUGGAUGGGCUGCAUGAUUCUUUGUCCAAGGCCACCCAUUGUUUGCAUCUCGGGUUAGUGUGCCAUUCCAGUAUCCGUUGUAGGGCUGUCGCUUGGUGGUAUUUGCGCAGGUCUGGGAGUGCCAAUCCGCCCUGACUCCUGGUCUUGCAUAGUAUUUCAUAUCUCAGUCGAGGUCUGCAUCCUCUCCAGACAUAGGUCAGGAAUGCGGUUUUCAGUGUCGCGAAAAAGGUCGUCGGUAAUGCCACUGGGAUCAUAUGGAACAAAUAUAGUAGCGGUAUAUUCAUUUUGAUGACCGCUAUGCGUCC